RNAcentral lists this transfer RNA (73 nucleotides) under hydrothermal vent metagenome. RNAcentral describes it as "tRNA-Ile-GAT". It matches the Rfam family "tRNA". From Rfam's summary of the family: Transfer RNA (tRNA) molecules are approximately 80 nucleotides in length. The record is from RNAcentral.
GUGGAGAUAGCUCAAUGGGUAGAGCAACUGUCUGAUAAACAGUGUGUUUCGGGUUCAAGUCCCGUUCUUCUCG